This is a long non-coding RNA of Corvus hawaiiensis (hawaiian crow), 436 nucleotides long. RefSeq lists it as uncharacterized. The record is from RefSeq and is a predicted model, not a curated record. Lineage: Eukaryota; Metazoa; Chordata; Aves; Passeriformes; Corvidae. The transcript is spliced from 3 exons.
GGGCAGAGCAGCAGCUGCAGCCCCGGUGUCCCUGGAGCGGUGGGAGCUGCCGGUGGCCGCAGGCACUGUGCCCUGAGGAGCUGCUGGAGGACGCUGCCCUGAAGACCUUGGGAAGAGCCAGAGAGUGACGGGAGCCAGCAGGGAGAAGCUGAAGGCCGCCAGCAAGAGCAGCGAAUAUGGACCUGCUGCUGCCGCCCGAGACCCUGGGUGUCCCAUCUGCUGUCCCCGUCCAGGAGAGCUGCUCUGCACGGGAGGAAGAGACCAAGGGAGAGGCUUUGAAGAUGGGGCGGCUGGAAUCCCUCUUCUUGUAUUUCUGUUUAAAGAUGUAUGGACUUGCUCAUAAGAUAGUGAUCAUUACAUGGAUAUUUAUAUGUAGGUUGCUAUUUGUAUAGGUAUAUUUGUAUAUGUAUGUUGUUAUAUUUAUGGAUGUAUGCUA